GCCAAAACUCCGUCCCUCUCCUGGUUCUGUAGAAAACUGACUGGAAUUAUGUAGGACAUGCAGUGGCUGUCCUCAGCCGGUUUGUCCGCCUCAAGUCCUCUGUUUGAAUGUAGCACCACUGGGCUCCCUCACAUGGCCAUUUCAAUUCCAGAAGUUGAGAAGGUCCAGGAAAAACAGUUCCACGUCCAGUCCUGAGCAGGGGCAGCAGCCAAAAUGUAUCACAGCCCUGGAACAGCCCAAUUUGUUGACACAGAGGAGGAAGCGAUGUAACUCUGGAGGAGAUCUAUGUUGCGGACAGACCCGGACUAUGACGAAAGCUACGUAAGAAGAGUGCUCCCCACUUGCAGUCACCACCUUCUGUGGGAGCUCCCCAGCCCCUCAGAUCUGUAAGCAAGGCAGCUUGUUCAUCCUUGGCGGAGGGCCAUAUUAACAGAGAUCUACUAUUUAAACUGUUUAAGUUCGCUUGAACAUCUGAAACAGGGAGAAGUCCAUCCAGCAGAUCCAGUGGACUCUGAGGAACUGAAGACAGGCUGGGACUUUCACCUCUUCCACAAGUGCAACUGUGGAGCCAAUGGGGACAGUAGCCAGAGCCUAACACACAGCACCUAACACAUAGUCACAGUGCCUUCCACGAUAAGCAAAAGAGGUUGUGGAGCUUGUGUUGCUGGGACCAUUCCCCAAGAGAAGGAAAUCAGCCCUGGUAGACACCCCAUCAGCCACAGGAAUGGCUGCAGAGCCUUCACUGCUGGCUCUGGAUGUGCCACAGGGCAUGUAGCUGGCACACUGCUCCUACCAUGCUCACGCUGUGGGAAGUGGCAAAAAUACUAGGUGAAGUGUUAAGUUAGAGCACUUGUUCUUCCAUGGGCUGAAAAAUGUUCUUCAACCCACAGAAGGAGGCUCACUACAAAAGCUAAAGACUAGCACAGUAUUCCUUGGACUAAAUCAGGGUGAGAAGAUGUCAAAGUGGCAAUUAAAAGUGCAGUGUUUAAAGAAAUGAGACAAAUCAGUGGAACAGAACCACCAAUUUUCAUUUCAACAUCGUUACAUGUCUCUUAAUUAGAACAGAUGUCUUCCUAAUCUGUGUGGAACAGAAAAGGACAUGGGAGGUCUGAAAUACUGGCUCCUCCACCAAUAUUACAUUAAUUCCCAUGUUCUGACAGCAAACCUACUGUCUCAGAUUGCACUAAAUUGAAAGACCCAGCAAUUCUGAAUCCUGCCUGCAAACCAUGGCUUAAUCUGCAAUAUCCAAAGCUUAGCUGAAAUCAUUUUCUCUUCCCUACACCUGCAAACAUUGCAUUUAUCCCACCAUGCACUGAGACUGCUCA
RNAcentral lists this long non-coding RNA (1325 nucleotides) under Apteryx rowi (Okarito brown kiwi). RNAcentral's name for it is "lncRNA (ENSARWG00000013566.1)". Lineage: Eukaryota; Metazoa; Chordata; Aves; Apterygiformes; Apterygidae. The record is from RNAcentral.